GACGAACGCUGGCGGCGUGCUUAACACAUGCAAGUCGAACGGAAAGGCCCUGCUUUUGUGGGGUGCUCGAGUGGCGAACGGGUGAGUAACCCGGUAAUAACCUGCCCUUUACUUUGGGAUAACUUCAGGAAACUGGGGCUAAUACCGGAUAUGAGCUCCUGCUGCAUGGUGUGGGUUGUGAAGUUUCGGCGGUUGGGGCUGGACUCGCGGCGUAUCAGCGUGUUGGUGGGGUAGUGGCUUACCAAGGCUUUGACGGGUAGCCGGCCUGAGAGGGUGACAGGCCACAUUGGGACUGAGAUACCGCCCAGACGCCUACGGGAGGAAGCAGUGGGGAAUAUUGCACACUGGGCGGAAGCAUGAUGCAGCAACGCCGCGUGCGGGAUGACGGCCUUCAGGUUGUAAACCGCUUUCGCCUGUAACGAAGCGUGAGUGACGGUAAUGAGUAAAGAAGCACCGGCUAACUACGUG
RNAcentral lists this ribosomal RNA (468 nucleotides) under uncultured bacterium. RNAcentral's name for it is "partial 16S ribosomal RNA". It matches the Rfam family "Bacterial small subunit ribosomal RNA", at positions 28 to 507 of the family's 1533-position model. The record is from RNAcentral.